This is a long non-coding RNA of Lycium ferocissimum, 297 nucleotides long. RefSeq lists it as uncharacterized. The record is from RefSeq and is a predicted model, not a curated record. NCBI's taxonomy places the organism in Eukaryota, Viridiplantae, Streptophyta, Magnoliopsida, Solanales, Solanaceae. The transcript is spliced from 3 exons.
CAUAAAUUAUUUUGUUAGAAGGAAUGGAAACAGAGUUCUAAUUAAAUACUACCUCUGGAUUUUAGUGCCUAAGUACAAUCAAGAUCUUCCUUUUCACAAAUUGUCUUUCUUCUUUACUACAUAUUCUUUCAAGGAGUUGGAGGUAAUAAACAUGAAAGAGACAACGGCCAGGGCCAAGUUAUUUGAGCUGAGAUCCUUUGAUGCUGCUUGGUAUUAAAGAGAUUAUCAUGGAUAUAUUAUCACGUCGUAACCAUGUGGGUAAGUCUAUUUCACAUUCCGUUGAAGACUUAUAGCACA